GAACAUCAGUAGGGAAGUCGGAGAUGCUCUGUGGCGAGAAAAGCUGUGUGUAUUGAUUAGGCGCCCGUACCGCAAACCGACACAGGUAGAUGAGGAGAGAAUCCUAAGGCCAACGGGAGGAGGGUUGUUAAGGAACUCGGCAAAUUGACCCCGUAACUUCGGGAUAAGGGGAGCCUCCUACGGGAGGCCGCAGUGAAUAGGCCCAAGCAACUGUUUACCAAAAACACAGGUCUCUGCUAAAUCGAAAGAUGAUGUAUAGGGGCUGACGCCUGCCCGGUGCCGGAAGGUUAAGAGGAGAGCUUAGCGCAAGCGAAGGUUCGAAUUGAAGCCCCGGUAAACGGCGGCCGUAACCAUAACGGUCCUAAGGUAGCGGAAUUCCUUGUCAGGUAAGUUCUGACCCGCACGAAUGGCGUAAUGAUUUGGGCACUGUCUCAAUAGCCCGCCCGGCGAAAUUGUAGUACUGGUGAAGAUGCCAGUUACCCGCAACUAGACGGAAAGACCCCAUGGAGCUUUACUGUAGCCUAAUACUGAAGAUCGGUAAUGCAUGUACAGGAUAGGUGGGAGCCAGCGAAACCCGGGCGUCAGCUCGGAUGGAGGCAACCUUGGAAUACCACCCUUGUAUUGCUGGUCUUCUAACCUGCGGCCAUGAAUCUGGUCGGGGGACACUGUUAGGUGGGCAGUUUGACUGGGGCGGUCGCCUCCAAAAGCGUAACGGAGGCGCUCAAAGGUUGGCUCAGCACGGACGGAAAUCGUGCAUAGAGUGCAAACGCAUAAGCCAACUUGACUGCGAGACCGACGGGUCGAGCAGGUACGAAAGUAGGAGUUAGUGAUCCGGUGGUAUGUGAGUGGAAAUGCCAUCGCUCAACGGAUAAAAGCUACCCUGGGGAUAACAGGCUGAUCUCCCCCAAGCGUCCACAGCGACGGGGAGGUUUGGCACCUCGAUGUCGGCUCGUCACAUCCUGGGGCUGUAUUCGGUCCCAAGGGUUCGGCUGUUCGCCGAUUAAAGUGGCACGCGAGCUGGGUUCAGAACGUCGUGAGACAGUUCGGUCCCUAUCUGUUGCGGGCGCAGGAGAUUCGAAGGGAGCUGUCCUUAGUACGAGAGGACCGGGAUGGACAGACCUCUGGUGCACCAGUUGUCGUGCCAACGGCACAGCUGGGUAGCUACGUCUGGACGAGAUAAACGCUGAAAGCAUCUAAGUGUGAAACUCCCCCUAAGAUAAGAUCUCCCAUCCAUUAGGAGUAAGGGACGACAGAGACUAUGUCGUUGAUAGGUCGGAAGUGUAAGUGCAGUAAUGCAUUGAGCUGACCGAUACUAAUAACCCGAGGGCUUGACU
RNAcentral lists this ribosomal RNA (1334 nucleotides) under metagenome. Its description in RNAcentral is "bacterial LSU rRNA". It matches the Rfam family "Bacterial large subunit ribosomal RNA", at positions 1574 to 2925 of the family's 2925-position model. The record is from RNAcentral.